This 452-nucleotide ribosomal RNA is filed under the name uncultured Pseudomonas sp. Its description in RNAcentral is "bacterial SSU rRNA". It matches the Rfam family "Bacterial small subunit ribosomal RNA", at positions 930 to 1382 of the family's 1533-position model. Lineage: Bacteria; Pseudomonadati; Pseudomonadota; Gammaproteobacteria; Pseudomonadales; Pseudomonadaceae. The record is from RNAcentral.
CGGUGGAGCAUGUGGUUAAUUCGAAGCAACGCGAAGAACCUUACCAGGCCUUGACAUGCAGAGAACUUUCCAGAGAUGGAUUGGUGCCUUCGGGAACUCUGACACAGGUGCUGCAUGGCUGUCGUCAGCUCGUGUCGUGAGAUGUUGGGUUAAGUCCCGUAACGAGCGCAACCCUUGUCCUUAGUUACCAGCACGUUAUGGUGGGCACUCUAAGGAGACUGCCGGUGACAAACCGGAGGAAGGUGGGGAUGACGCCAAGUCAUCAUGGCCCUUACGGCCUGGGCUACACACGUGCUACAAUGGUCGGUACAAAGGGUUGCCAAGCCGCGAGGUGGAGCUAAUCCCAUAAAACCGAUCGUAGUCCGGAUCGCAGUCUGCAACUCGACUGCGUGAAGUCGGAAUCGCUAGUAAUCGUGAAUCAGAAUGUCACGGUGAAUACGUUCCCGGGCCUU